GAUUUUGGUUUAUCUCGACUUAAGCACGAGACUUAUCUAACUACGAAGACGGGAAAGGGCACGCCUCAAUGGAUGGCACCUGAAGUUCUUCGCAAUGAGCCCUCAGAUGAGAAGUCGGACAUAUAUAGUUUUGGAGUGAUAUUAUGGGAGCUUGCAACCGAGAAGAUCCCUUGGGAAAAUCUCAAUUCAAUGCAGGUAAUUGGUGCUGUUGGAUUCAUGAACCAACGACUUGAAAUCCCCAAAGACGUGGAUCCUCAAUGGGCUUCUAUAAUUGAAAGCUGCUGGCACAGGUACACACCACACAUGUUUUUUUUUUUCUUUCUUUUUUAUCGUUUCUUUACUUACUCCAUUAUGGUUUCUUCUGGGUUGUCUGAAA
Non-coding RNA from Cucurbita pepo subsp. pepo (vegetable marrow), 376 nucleotides. NCBI's taxonomy places the organism in Eukaryota, Viridiplantae, Streptophyta, Magnoliopsida, Cucurbitales, Cucurbitaceae. The record is from RefSeq and is a predicted model, not a curated record.